RNAcentral lists this transfer RNA (71 nucleotides) under Camelus bactrianus (Bactrian camel). It matches the Rfam family "tRNA". Rfam says of the family: Transfer RNA (tRNA) molecules are approximately 80 nucleotides in length. Their secondary structure includes four short double-helical elements and three loops (D, anti-codon, and T loops). RNAcentral also lists the same sequence under 2 other names. Lineage: Eukaryota; Metazoa; Chordata; Mammalia; Artiodactyla; Camelidae. The record is from Rfam by way of RNAcentral.
GGGUAUAGCUCAGGUGGUAGAGCGCAUGCUUAGCACGCACGAGGCCCUGGGUUCAAUCCCCUGUAUCUUCA